Molecule: ribosomal RNA, 1319 nt
Filed under: Triticum aestivum (bread wheat)
Lineage: Eukaryota; Viridiplantae; Streptophyta; Magnoliopsida; Poales; Poaceae
Description: partial small subunit ribosomal RNA
Source: RNAcentral
CCACCGAAACCCCUCCAAACCCCUCCCACCGGAAAAUCCCCCAAACUUUGGCUGGCCAAAACUAUGGACGGAGAUCGACGGUUGCUGGCGGUCGCCGCGCCCGCAUCGGCGGCGGCGGCGGUGCUUGGCAACGACGACCUCCUGCGCGAGAUCCUCCUCCGCCUCGGCUUCCCUACCUGCCUCGUCCAUGCCGCCCUCGUCUCCAAGCGGUGGCUCCACCACGCCUCCAACCCGGCCUUCCUCCGCCGCUUCUGCGAGCGCAACCCGCCCCGCGUCCUCGGCGUUUUCGCCUGCUACCCUGGAACACCGUACAAGUACCUGCCGCUUCCGCAGCCCCCGGAGCUCGCCGCCCUCCCACGUCGUGCGGCCUCCUCCUUCGACGGCGCCUUCACUGCCAACACAUACCAGCGCGUCGUGCACUGCCGGAACAGCCGCCUCAUCACCGUGUUCUUGCAUGAGGGAGCAUACUCGCUGGGGAGUCCGAAGCGGUCCUCCCACAGACCCCGCUGCCCCGCCAUCUCCCACAGGCUCACACUCAAGGGGUAUUAUCUCUGACUUUCCUGCCCAAGGACGGGGGCCACAACGGCAUCACCCUGGUGAGUCUGUGGAAGGUUUGGAGAGAAGUCCGUGCGGAAGUGUGCGUGCUGGGAUCUGGCGGUGGGGCGUCCCUACCACGGCUGUGACAGAGGUUGAUCUCCCGUAUGCCGAAACCAACUUUAUAGAAAUGCUACCACCCGUCCAUGGCAAGGUCUUCAUGGUGACCGGCUUGGGUUACACCCUGGGUCUAGGUUUGGCCACGUCAACCUUCUUCACCCUUGAGCUACCAGUUGGAGUGCGGAGCAACUAUAUGCUUUCAUGUGCGGAGGGUUCCGGGAUCUAUCUUGUCAGUGCAGACGGGUUUCAUCUCAGUGUGUGGCUUCAUGGAGUAAAUAGCAUAAAACUACUACUUUACAGGCUAGGGUUUCAAAAAACUACCGAUUUUUAAUUUUUCUCGGAUAACUACCAAAUGGGUGGUUGGCUGUUUCAAAAAACCCAAAACACCCAGUGCUUUACAAUUGAUCGUGAUUAUGACAAUUCGGACCCGCAUGUAAGAAAACUGAUUGUUUGACCGUCUGUUUGACUGUUAACUGACAUGUGGGGUCCACAUGUCAGCUCUCUUCCUCCUUCUCUUCACUCCUCCUGCCUCACUACUUCCCCAGGAGGUCGAUGGGGCGCCGACCGCAGCUCCUUCUACCAGCGCCGGCCGCCCCUCCUUCCACCUCGUCGGCGUCGGCCAGCCGCUCCUCCGCCUCCACCACUGCCCCCGGGGCACGGUCACU